GACGAACGCUGGCGGCGUGCUUAACACAUGCAAGUCGAACGGAAAGGCCCUGCUUUUGUGGGGUGCUCGAGUGGCGAACGGGUGAGUAACACGUGAGUAACCUGCCCUUGACUUUGGGAUAACUUCAGGAAACUGGGGCUAAUACCGGAUAGGAGCUCCUGCUGCAUGGUGGGGGUUGGAAAGUUUCGGCGGUUGGGGAUGGACUCGCGGCUUAUCAGCUUGUUGGUGGGGUAGUGGCUUACCAAGGCUUUGACGGGUAGCCGGCCUGAGGGGGUGACCGGCCACAUUGGGACUGAGAUACGGCCCAGACUCCUACGGGAGGCAGCAGUGGGGAAUAUUGCACAAUGGGCGGAAGCCUGAUGCAGCAACGCCGCGUGCGGGAUGACGGCCUUCGGGUUGUAAACCGCUUUCGCCUGUGACGAAGCGUGAGUGACGGUAAUGGGUAAAGAAGCACCGGCUAACUACGU
This 467-nucleotide ribosomal RNA is filed under the name uncultured bacterium. RNAcentral describes it as "partial 16S ribosomal RNA". It matches the Rfam family "Bacterial small subunit ribosomal RNA", at positions 28 to 506 of the family's 1533-position model. The record is from RNAcentral.